AAAAUCCGUCGAAUUUUAAAA
RNAcentral lists this transfer RNA (21 nucleotides) under Coelogyne fimbriata. RNAcentral's name for it is "partial tRNA-Leu". RNAcentral also lists the same sequence under 3 other names. The record is from RNAcentral. Lineage: Eukaryota; Viridiplantae; Streptophyta; Magnoliopsida; Asparagales; Orchidaceae.